GGCCGUCUAGCUCAGUUGGUUAGAGCGUCGUGCUAAUAUUCAUUAUGAAUUCAACGCGAAGGUCUUGGGUUCGACCCCCACGAUGGCCA
Molecule: non-coding RNA, 89 nt
Organism: Mycena rosella
Lineage: Eukaryota; Fungi; Basidiomycota; Agaricomycetes; Agaricales; Mycenaceae
Source: the annotation of a GenBank genome assembly